CACUAUUUCUUCACUGAGUUGUAUUUUGUAUCUGCGGACAUCGAUCAGCUGUGACCUGUCAGCGAUGGAGUGAGACCUCCUGUCCGCAUCUGCGUUCUGUUCGUCUCAUCUAUUGUAACGACCUCGUUACUCCGCGAAGACAAGACGGAGCCAAACUCUCGUCCCUGUGUCCUUUCACGUGUCCCUCGGACACCGUCCACCUGACGCAGUAUCGGACACGAUUUCUUUGCCAGCUCGUAUUAAAUCAGAUUCCUGCUCCAAACCAAGCCGUGAAUCAUUAAGCGAGCAUCGGGGGCUGCUCGUGAUAAAUAUAAACCAAUGUCAAGAUGUGCUAUUCACACGCACACACCGAGCCGACACUAUUUCUAAUGUCCAGUAUCAGAUUCAGCAUCACAGUGUGUUGACAAACACUUUUACUACUGCGUCAACGGCUGAGCAGCUUUUUCCACUGAAAUUUCAAGGAUAAAGGAGCGAACAGGUGGCGCCAGGGUUUCCUGUCAUAUUCAUUACACUGCUGAAUGAUGCACCGGUUAUAUUUAUGGGCUGAUAUCAGCGCCUGAAGCUGGAUCGUACAUGCCGAGGAGAGCAAGGGGGUACGAUGACCUGCUCCCCCGGGAGGUUGAGAGGUGAAGACUAAAGAGAAGGUUGUUCGAGGCCCGUUAUGUAUCGUCUUACGUUCACAAAGACGGACAGGGACGUGAGACAGAAGACGCUGCAAAGAAAGGGAAGGUGCAAAGGGAUUUUUGAAGAGCGGUGGAGAGAGGAAGUGAAUUACCUGACAAGAGAAAAGACAAGAGUGUGGCAAAGAAAGAAAGAGGUUUAAAAUCCCGGCUGCUGAAGCGAGCUCGUCCACAGCCGCUACACGUGGGAGGAGUCAUAUAAGAGCGAAGGAAACGGAAGAGGAGUUUCACUGUUCUCCACAGACGACAGAGGCCACGAUUACCUGCUGGUGUCUGGUACGAUUCUUCAUCAUACAUCUCUUCAUGUAGAACAUGUAUGUGACUUAUCACGGCUUCAGGUUACUUCACUUUACGUUUCUAAGUGUUGGUAGUUUCAUUGUGUGUAAACUUAAACUGUUAAAGAGAGAAACAUUCAAACGUAUGAUUCAAGGAAACAGUGACUCUACGAUGACAUCAUUAGCAGCUGAGCUCCGGGACACCCGUGGUAAAGGAGGUCAAACCAACAUGGCGGCCGUGACGCACAACUCCGUAAAACCAACGCAGCAUAAACAUCUUUACACGU
This is a non-coding RNA of Paralichthys olivaceus (Japanese flounder), 1242 nucleotides long. The record is from RefSeq and is a predicted model, not a curated record. NCBI's taxonomy places the organism in Eukaryota, Metazoa, Chordata, Actinopteri, Pleuronectiformes, Paralichthyidae.